RNA transcript from Solanum stenotomum, 2326 nucleotides. RefSeq lists it as uncharacterized. The record is from RefSeq and is a predicted model, not a curated record. NCBI's taxonomy places the organism in Eukaryota, Viridiplantae, Streptophyta, Magnoliopsida, Solanales, Solanaceae. The transcript is spliced from 7 exons.
UAUUUCUACUCCUCUUCACCUUUUAUAGAUCUCGCCGGUUACCCUCUUCCGUUACAGUUCGCCGGAGAAGUACAAUUCUAAUUUUCCGAUCGAGACUUUGUUGGAGCCGGAACACUGGAAAUACUUCGAUCGGUACCUAUAUAUAACUUGCAGUUCUGAGUGGCUAAGUGAAUCCAUAGGAAAUGGCUUAUGAUAACUCCUCCACACUUGAGCCCAAACGUUCCCAUCAAUGGUUCAUGGAUGGCAUCGAGCCUGAACUGCUUCCCAACAAGAAGCAAGCCAUUGAAGUACCUAAUCACAGUUCAUUCUCUGGACUUUUAAGUUCCAAUAUUGCCCCCUGGAUGAACACUCCUGGUUUCCACUCAGCACCAGGCCAAUAUGCAGAAAGGCAGUUUGACAAUGACAGCGCAAGAUCGCUCAGCUUUGAUGACAACAGUGUUCCAUCCGUUGGCAUAGGCAACAUGAAUAUGUCUAGAAAGGUGAUGGAAGAUCCAUUUGGAAGUGAUUCCUCAUUUGGUUUAUCCAUAUCCCAUACACUGGAGGAUCAUAGAUUAGGUCUUAACUAUAGUGGUAUCAGAAAGGUCAAAGUCAGCCAGGUGAAGGAGGCUGAGAAUUUCAUGCCUGUGUCAAUGGGUGAUAUCUAUACCAGAGGGAUCAGCAAUGCAAUGCCAACAGAUCAUGCAUUUAGUAAGGCUGAGGAUAAUUGCAUAGCUAUGGGGCUCUCUUUCAAUGGAGGUGAUGAGCAUCUGAUGUCAUUAGGUGACACAUUCAAUAGGGAAGACAACAGUUUCAUAUCUAUGGGUCAACCUUUUAACAAGGUGGAUAGCAAUGAAAUAUCAGUGGGUCACAGCUUCAAAGAGAGCAGCUUACUGUCAAUGAGUCACCCUUUUUGUAAAGAUGAAAGCAAUAUUACUAUCCUGAAUCACAGUUUUAGCAGAGAGGAUGAUAGCACAAUAUCAGUGAGUCACUCAUUCAAUGACAAUAAUACUGCCAUAUCAAUGGGCCAGCAAUUCAGUAAUGAUGAUAGCAAUAUUACAUCAGUUGGACAAACUAUUAAUAAGAUGGCUGACACCAAUCCACCUAUGAGCCACUGCUACAGCAAAGUCGAUGACAAUGCCAUAUCAGUGAGUCAGACCUAUAGCAAAGUUGAAAACAAUAAUUUGUCAAUGAGUCAAUCUUUUGGCAAUGGAGAAAGCAAUAUCAUAUCCUUUGGUGGAUUCAAUGACGAUGACGAUAUAAAUUCUUCUGGAAGGCUGAUUUGCAGUUAUGAUUUAUUAAUGAGUCAGUCUUCAGGCCAACAAUCAGAUAUUGUGGCUGGAAAGCGAUUGGUUGAGUCAAAUGCGGAUAUAGUUACAAGUGCUGCUCAAAUGGCUGGCAGUAAGGAAUUUAUUUCCAAAAAGGAGGAGCAGAAAGCAACUAAAAAGCCUCAUUCGAACAGUUUCCCUUCAAAUGUGAGAAGCUUGCUCUCAACUGGUAUGUUAGAUGGAGUACCUGUCAAGUAUAUAGCUUGGUCCAGAGAGAAGGAACUCCGUGGUAUUAUAAAAGGCUCUGGUUACCUCUGUGGCUGUCAGUCAUGUAAUUUUUCCAAGGCAAUUAAUGCUUAUGAGUUUGAGCGACAUGCUGGUUGUAAGACAAAACACCCUAAUAAUCAUAUAUACUUUGAGAAUGGGAAGACGAUCUAUGGGAUUGUUCAGGAGCUCAGGAACACACCUCAGGAUUUACUAUUUGAAGUUAUUCAGACAAUUACUGGAUCAUCCAUUAACCAAAAAUCAUUUCGCAUCUGGAAAGAAUCUUUUCUAGCUGCGACACGUGAACUUCAGCGUAUAUAUGGGAAGGAUGAGGUCAGACGACUGUCAUAAAGAGGUAUCCAUAUGCAAGAAUGGUUUUUUUUGGGACGCCAUUGACAGAAACUACAGGAGAAUUCAUGAUGCUAAUUCUGCACAACGUGUAUUAACUCCCCUGAAACCUGUAUAUUAAAGCCAGAACAAGCUCAUUCAUACAUUACGAAUUUAAAGAGCUCAGAGAGAAGUUUCACCAAAUUAAUUUGUCAUGUCCACAGAAGCUAUAAAUUUUGUGGGCAAAGUUGGAAGUGGUUCCAAGCUAGUGACUGCGAAGGAGACAUACUGGCAAAACUUCUAUGGUUAUGUACAUGACAGAUUGACAACCAAGGUGCGUGGGUUGCCUGCUUAAAGAAACUUUGUUUUCUCUUUUGCUAUUGGUCCUCAUAGUUGAUCACUCAAUUAUCGCCUUGAUCCUUGGUAAUAAUUCUUGUCAAAUAGUUAUGGCUGUAAAUUAUAUCUUUCCUUUGGUUCUAAAUUUUGAUGUA